AAGCCGUGGGUGUCCGGAGGCGGGAAGUCCAAGACCAGUGCGCCGGGACAGUUGGCUUCUGGUGAGGACCCUGUUCCGGGUUGCAGAAAGCCAAGUUCUCACCGUGUUCUCACGUGGUAGGAGGGGCAAACCACCGUCUGGGGUUUCUUUUAUAAGAGUACUGAUUCCACUCAUGAGGCUCUGCCCUCGGGAGCUACUCAGCGGCCCCCCUCCGAAUACCAUCACCUCGGCCAUUCGGUUUCACCAUGCGGGUUUGGGAGGAGGGACACAUUCAGACCCUAGGCCCACCGAGGUCAUGUGCCACUUCCAAGCUGUCUCCUCCCAGCGACACCUGUGGCAGGUGACCUCCCUGUAAUGCAGGGUCUGGCUCCUUACUUUAAAAUGUGACAGCCGACAGCUUCGAAGCCUCAUCCUCCCUGUCCCUUGUGCCCCACACAUGGGCAAGCUGAUGUCAAAGCCUCCGGGCUCCCUUCCUCGGCAUCAGCGGGGAGUUCGCACCACCCACAGGAACCCCCGCCCCUGCUCUAGCUCCAAACACGACAGAGACACCCCCGCACCCCCUGCCCGGUCUCCUUUCCAUGUCCUCUCAAGUCGUCUUCUGACCACCUUGGGGACCUGCCGUGCGAUCCCAGGAAGCCUCAAUGU
Molecule: long non-coding RNA, 645 nt
Filed under: Lynx pardinus (Iberian lynx)
Lineage: Eukaryota; Metazoa; Chordata; Mammalia; Carnivora; Felidae
Source: RNAcentral